Long non-coding RNA from Oxyura jamaicensis (ruddy duck), 583 nucleotides. RefSeq lists it as uncharacterized. NCBI's taxonomy places the organism in Eukaryota, Metazoa, Chordata, Aves, Anseriformes, Anatidae. The transcript is spliced from 3 exons. The record is from RefSeq and is a predicted model, not a curated record.
ACUUUAAACUGGAAGGUUUCUCAGUAUGCUCAACUGUUGUGGGGAUGCUUUCCCACAUCAUCGCAAAUAACAAAACUGCUCCACUGAAAUAAGCUUGCACCUGGCUGAUCAUCCUCGAGAUAUGGAACAUGUGCUCCCUGAAUCCAGCUGCCGCCUGCCAACCCGCAGCUCUCUCGCUAGCUGAGGAACCAGCCCCAAGCUCUCCAAGCUGCUGUUGACCCCACUGACCCCUUCUGAUGGCAGGAGAUGCAAGCCUCUGCCUGCUCUUCAGCUGUUACAGUUCAAAGAUUGAGUCUAAGACACCUCUGCUCCUAAAUUCAGUGCCACAGUUAUAAGCGCAGCACGAUGAGGGAAGAAUCCAAGACUUCGUCCGUGAAGAUUGUAUUCAGGCAGCUGAAGCCACACCAAGCCUCCUAUCUGUGAGAAGGCUUUGAACUGUGAUUAGCCCUGUGACUGUUAAGACUUAUUUUGUAAUAAAUGCAAUAGACACACACACCUUCAGUUCCCACCAAUGUGUGAAGGCACACCCUCAAAUAAAUACAGUGUAAUCUCAUCUGUGCCCUAUUAUCCCACAGCUCAGUUA